RNAcentral lists this ribosomal RNA (408 nucleotides) under uncultured bacterium. RNAcentral's name for it is "partial 16S ribosomal RNA". It matches the Rfam family "Bacterial small subunit ribosomal RNA", at positions 28 to 526 of the family's 1533-position model. The record is from RNAcentral.
GACGAACGCUGGCGGCGUGCUUAACACAUGCAAGUCGAACGAAGUGGCGAACGGGUGAGUAACGCGUAAUCAACCUGCCCUUCAGAGGGGGACAACAGUUGGAAACGACUGCUACUACCGCAUACUGAAGGAUGGGAUUGCGUCUGCUUAGCUAGUUGGAGGGGUAACGGCCCACAAAGUCGAUGAUCAGUAGCCGGUCUGAGAGAAUGAACGGACACAGUGGGACUGGUACACGGCCCAGACUCGGACGGGAGGCAGCAGUGGGGAGUCUUACGAAAUGGAAGAAGGUCUGACGGAGCAAUGCCGCGGGAGUGAUGACGGCCUUCGGGUUGGAAAGCUCUGUUGAUCGGGACGCGGUACCGGAAUAGAAAGCCACGGCUAACUACGUGCCAGCGGCCGCGGUAAUUC